UUUGUUUUGUUGCAAUCUUUUAAUGUAUCACAUAGUAAAUAUGCUACCAGCUUGCAAUGUAUUACAAAUAUGUUGUCAAAUUUUACUGUGUGAUCUCACAGAAUUUUACAUACAUUCAAACAUUUAUCUCUUGUAGGUUAGAUAAUUUUGAGCAAAUAGUGUAUAACACUGAUGUAAUCUUGGAUUUUAAAGUCUUCAUAAAAAGUAUUAUCAUGGUGGUAAUAUCACUACUAUAUUCAGUAUAGAACACAAAAAUGUUUGAUUUCUCUUUGAUUUUCAUUUAAAUAUUCAUGAGAUAAAAAAAAAGUUGAUCUCAUCUAAAUACAUUUCAAUUAAAGUUUGUAAUUGAUUAAAACAUAUCCCUUACAGAUCUCAAAGUUACAACAAAGGACAUCAAAUAUGAAAAAAAUAGGUGAUCAGCUAAAAUGUUUUAUGUGAAUAGAAAAAAAGCUGUCUUUUCUUCAAAAGUAAGAAAAUUUUCAUUCACAUGAUUUAGGUUAUUUUUCUAAGAUUGAUUUUUUGGUUAAGUAAAUUAGUUCAACCAUGAGGUUAAUCCUGAUGAAAAUAACAUCUACAGAGAGUAUUAUUCUGUUUUGAUUUUAAUAAAUCCCUGAUUCACACACUAACUCACUCAUUCUAUUCAUGACACUAUCAAUCAUUAACAUGUAGGAUGUUCUGAAUAAGUUUGUCAUUAUGUUAAUAUUUCAGACAUUAUUGGCAGAUAUGACUCAUUUGAGAUCCAUGCUGCAGUCUGUAUAGGGAAAGCAUAAUUGUGCUUGCAAGCAAAAAAAAAAUAUGAACUGAUAUGGAUAUAUGUAAAUGGAUUCAAAAUAGCAUACACAAACAUAUAAAACAACUUAAAAAAAUAACAAGAAAGACAGAAAUGAUAGAUCACAGGUCUAUGUUGAAACAAAAUUUACUGUUUACUAUGACUACAUAUGUUAUUGUGAGAAAGCAAAAAAAAUAUUGAGAUUCUAAUAUUUUGUUCAAAAUGCCAUAAUGGACUAUAAAUCAGGUAUGAGAUUCAUAUACAUAAAUGCAAAUAAAUUGAAAAAUAAACAGCUGCGCCAUGAGCGCAUGAUACGCCUGACGUCUUGUGUGUAAGUUUUAUGCAAUAAUCAUAAAUAGUUUCUGAGAAAGUUUUAAGCAAUAACCAUAUAUUGUUUUUGAGACACGGCGGGACAUGUGAAACCCACCACCCUGUUUUUUUUUUUUACAAAAACUAAAUAUCAAUAAAAAUAAAAUUUUGAAUCAAAACUAAAAAGUAUACAGAUCUUUAGAUUAAUAUAACAAAGAAGUGUGUAAAGUUUUAAGCAAUAAUCAUAAAUUAUUUUUGAGAUAGGGUGUGACAUGUGAAAAAAAACACCUCCCCUGUUUUACAAAAUACUCAAUAACUCAGAAAUAAAAUUUUGAAUCAUCACCAAAAAGUAUACUGAUCUUUAGAUUAAUAUAACAAAGAAGUGUGUAAAGUUUUAAGCAAUAAUUAUAAAUUUGUUUCUGAGAUACGGCACAACAUGUAAAAAACCCCUCCCCCUUUUUUACAAAAUACUCAACAACUCAAAAACGAAAUUUUGAAUCAUCACCAAAAAGUAUACAGAUCUUUAGAUUAAUAUAACAAAGACAUGUGUAAAGUUUUAAGCAAUAAUCAUAAAUCGUUUUUGAGAUAUGGCGCGACAUGUAAAAAAAAAACCUCCCCCUUUUUUACAAAAUACUCAAUAACUCAAAAAUGAAAUUUUGAAUCAUCACCAAAAAGUAUACAGAUAUUAAGAUUAAUAUAACUAAGAAGUGUUUAAAGUUUUAAGCCAUAAUCAAGAAUCGUUUUUGAGAUAUGGUGCGACAUGUGAAAAAAAAACCACACCCCUGUUUUAGUUACAAAGUGCCGUAACUCAAAAAGUUUUAAUCUCAUUUUCACCAAAAAGUAUACAGAUCAUUUGACCAUCAUAAGAAACAAUUAUAUUAAGUUUCAUGAAAUUUGGAUAAGUCGUUCUCAAGUUACGGUGCGACAUGUUUACGCCGGACAGACAGACGGACAGACACCGGACAUUUGUAUACCAUAAUACGUCCCGUCAAAAUUUUGAUGGGCGUAUAAUAAGCAGAAGAUUGCAAAGGAGAAAAACAUACCACAGCAAAACUCAACAAAUAACAUAUAAAAUUGAGAAAGGAAAUGGUGAAUAUGUCAAAGCGACAACCACCCGACCAUAGAGCAAACAACAGCCGAAGGCAACCAAUGGGUCUUCAAUGUAGCGAGAAUUCCCGCACCCGUAGGUGUCCUUCAGCUGGCCCCUAAAAUAUGCAUAAUAGUACAGUGAUAAUGGACG
RNAcentral lists this long non-coding RNA (2318 nucleotides) under Mytilus galloprovincialis (Mediterranean mussel). The record is from RNAcentral. Lineage: Eukaryota; Metazoa; Mollusca; Bivalvia; Mytilida; Mytilidae.